Long non-coding RNA from Podarcis muralis (Common wall lizard), 1917 nucleotides. RefSeq lists it as uncharacterized. NCBI's taxonomy places the organism in Eukaryota, Metazoa, Chordata, Lepidosauria, Squamata, Lacertidae. The record is from RefSeq and is a predicted model, not a curated record.
UGCUGCUGCUGCUUUUCUUUCUCUUCUUAAAUUGGCUAAGGGGAAAAAAACGAUACCUCUGCACCUGGGGCAGCAGCACAUGACCUCUAGGCGAGCUUAGUCUUAAUUAGAAGGUAUUGCUUCUGGGUCAGAGAAGCCGCCUUCUGCCAGGCUUUAAGGCCCGAGCACCUCUCAUUUUGCAGGGUAAGCCCUGACAGCGGAAAGGCAGAAAGAAGAAAGGCCUCGCCCAGUUUUGAAAGGGCAGGAUUAGGUGGGGUGUGCUGAGGAGCGUCUCACAUUUGCUUCCCUGAGGCAGGAGGGAUGGGGAGAGGCGAGAGCUGCCUGGUCUAGUCUCUUCUCUCACCAGCUGCCAAUUCUGCUCAGGCAGCGCAGCUGCAGAGAGAGGGAGAGAGGCGGUUUCCAUGGUAACCACUGCUGGGGCUCCUCUCCUCUUUGCUGUAUUUGGAAGAAGAUGAGGAGGCAAGGGCGGGGGAAGAAGCAUGGUCUGACUCCCAAGCCCAGUGGCAGCAGCCUACAUGGGGCUGCAAAGAUAACAUUCGGAGGACGGGUACUGCCACACUGUACACAGGAAGAGGAAGUGCACAUAACCUAAGGCUUGUAUGGUGGGCUGCUCUUCAGGCCUCCUCAGCUUGGAAGCAAGUCUCAUCCCUUGCAGAAUAUGAAACAGCAAGCCCCAAACGAGGACAAAGUGCUAUCACAAGAAGGACAAGAAGAAGCAAGAAAGAAGAGCUCUUUAAGGUGAAAGGAUGAUCUCAUGCAAAAAGGCAGAGGGGCAAUGUUUCUUCCUAAUGGACCAUGUUAAACACCAAGGUUCCAAAUUUACCAGAAUACACACAACAGAUCUGCAGUGCCCUUAUUUUUCUUUCUCCGGAUUUUGCUCUUGCAAGCCUAGUGGCAUGCUUAAUGCAGUAGAGUGGAAGAGGACGGCUGAAAACUCGGUCAAAGUAUUAUUUUCCAGUCCGCCAGUCUCCAAUACUCUUUUCUCAAAAGACUUUUGAUUUAGCUCAAGAUAAUUCCUUGAGCAAAACAUAACCUUUGGUGAUAUUUCUGAGUAGCACCAACAGAUAAAAUUCACAGCAAUAGGGCAUUUCAGAAAAAGGAAAACGGCUUUUAAUGUGACAGCAUCAAGUUUUGGUUGCAAAAAAUAAAAUGCAAAACAACUGCAAAGCCUACAGAUCCUCACACUGACUUAGUGGGAAAUGACACCGUUUAGUUCUAUAACAGGGCAAAGUAUAAUUACUUCUAUUCUGAAUACCUUCUCUCCCAGAAUGAGAAUCCACUUAUUCUUAGCAAGCCACAGAUCCUUAGCCGACAGAGUAAAUUUCACUAUAAUUUCACUUUGCUGAAAACUCAGUGCUACAAUUUGUCAGGGGGUCUCUUUACUCUCUGAAGAAGAAAAAGAAUAGUUUAAAGGGAUGUCAUGAAGGCAGAGCAGACUUGUUCUCUGUUGUUCCGGAACCAGCACGCAGAAAUUGCAGGAGAGCAAAUUUUGGCUAGAAGUUAAGAACAGAAACUUCCCCAAUGGUUAGAGCUGUUAAACAAAGAACAGGCUGCCUUGGGAAACAUUUAAGCGGAGGCUGGACAGCCAUCUGUCAGGGAUGCUGUGGUUGCAUCCUGUAUUGCAGAUCCUGUACUGAACAGGGAGUGGACAUUACCUCCACAACCGUUCCAACUGUAGAACUGUAUGAACAAAGAUCUGAAGUCCAUUAUGAGCUCCAGAGAUAUACAAGAACCCCACACAUCCAGUUUUGCUUACCUGACUUGGCCCCAUCAGGAGGGAGCAGUCCACAGAUCAAGUUAAUACCUUCAUCACCCAGCAUGCAGUCCCCUAAGUCCAAGGCCACUAGUGAGGGAUGGAUGGAGAGUGCUGGGUUCAAAAGAGCCAGACCAGCGUCUGUCAGGGGACUUCCGUGGAGG